Molecule: long non-coding RNA, 2256 nt
Filed under: Rattus norvegicus (Norway rat)
Lineage: Eukaryota; Metazoa; Chordata; Mammalia; Rodentia; Muridae
Description: long non-coding RNA NONRATT010456
Source: RNAcentral
GUGAGGCAGGUGCCCCUGGGUUCAUGUAGUAAGUCCCCCAAUUAAUUAGAUGGUUUCCUGACUCUGACUUACUCCAGGAGACACAGAGAGUUGACUGUGUGGCCCUUUGGGUCCCAGUGUCCUUGUUUUGUUGGGCAAUUUUCAGUUCACGCAAGGUGAGGUGUUGGAGACAAGUUGAUCAGGGAAAUGACAAGGGAAGAGAAGAGAGUGGUCUGGACUGGGCACUGGUAGAACUGCUCUUUAAGUUUGUGAUUGGUGUCUUGCUCUUUUUGCCUGCCAUGAUGGUGGGUGUACAGGGGGCUGGGAUUAUCUUCCCUUUUAUGCUAUGGGGCCUGGAAGGCUGAAUGUUCCCAAGAAGAUGAGAGACGAAGCCUAGGUUUAUAGAGGGACAGCGACUCUGUCUUACUGCAGUAUGACAAGCUGGAACCUGGAUGUGUUUAUUAAUUCAUGGCCGUUUGGUGAAUGCUGAAGGCUAACUAACCUACAGGGCCUUUCCUCUCCACUUUGGCUGGCAUCCUCUGAACAGGUGGUCAGGUGACGCCAGAACUCACUGGAAAUAGAUUUUUAUAUAUAUUAUCUUUAAUCUCUGUUAUAACCUCAUGUCUCCCCAGUUCGUUUGGGAAGAGAGACCAUGAAAGGAAAGGAUGAGGAGAGAGGUAAAAUGUUCAGGACCCCGUUUAGGGAGAAGAGCCAGGUAGAGGAAUAGUUCUAAAGAUAAUUCCAGGGGAGUACAAACCAAAGAGACAGCUGAAGCCAGUGGUCUACAGACACAGUCUACCUUUAUUGCCACAACUGUAGAACUUUGUCUACAUAGCAUGUAGGAGAACCAGGGCAACAAUGUGACACAGAAGCCACAAGAAGUUGAGGAGGUUAAGGUUAGAAUGAGAUUAGAUCCUUGAGACUGGAGUUUCUUGGAGAGAGGUGGAUCAACAGAACAUGGGAAGAAAGGGGAGAGAGAGAGAGUCUAAGAGCCAGAUGGCUUCUGAUCUCAGUCAAGUACAGCAAUCACCUGACUCACUUCUCAGAAUGCAGGAACAGGCCCCACCUCCUGCCUUGGGGCUCCCUUCUCUACUUAGGUUACAACAUCCUUUAAGGCAGCUCCUAACUCUGGGAAGGAAUACUGGUAGCCCGUGGCCAGUGUCCUCCGGGGGACCACUUUCUGGCCUUCCAACAGCAUGAUGGCACGCUCUCGUCCAAAGAUUGCUUGUACCACAGCGCUGGGGACAGGUAUGAAGGCUGGGCGGCCCAGGGCAGCACCCAAGGCCUGGGCAAAAUCGGCAUUGGUAGUUGUAGAUGCUGGAGCUACUCCAUUCAGGACUCCUUGGACGUGGUUUGCCUCAAGGGCAUGAUUCAGAAUUCCUGCCAGGUCACUAAUGUGUAUCCAGGGGAAGAACUGGUGACCUGAACCAAUGGGGCCUCCUAGGCCCAGGCGGAAGGGCAGAAGCAUGUGGCCGAUGGCACCGCCCCUGCGGCCCAGCACAACCCCUAAAGCAGACAGAAGGGUGGUAAAGGAAGGUUGUUUAGUCCUUGGAGAGCUGCACUAUAAUUUCUCUUCUCCCUUCCUCACAGCCUUCCCAUGUGCACUUGGGAGUGGGCAGAGUUGAGGGCUGUGGAUCUUCCUGGGGCUUUCCCUUUGUGUUAGCUAAAGUGAUGGUGUCCUCUCACUGCAAACUCACCCCUCCUCAGCCCAGAAAUCUUCUACUUUGCUUGGUUCCCAGGCCCUUGGUCCUCACCUGAACGUACCACGACCUGGCGUGUAGACUCUCCAGGAAGCCUGGCUGCUGCUUCCCAUUUGGUUACCAGGUUGGAGAAAAAGUCAAAAUCCCCUCCUGGGCUGUCUUCAUCAUACUCCUCAGUCAGGCUUGGCUGGUAGUAAGCUGUCACAGAAGGGCACUCAUUUGCUCUGGCGGUCCCUGGCCUGCUGGGCCCUUCAGUGAAAGGCUCCUUAGCCUCAGGCUCCUUGGCCCUUUGGGUUUCCACAGGAGAAGAAAACCAUAACUGUUUCCCCCCUUGAGCUUCUCCAUGUGUUCAUGCCUGAAAGUGUAGCUAUUGGCUCUCAGGCUGCGUCCAGAGGCUGCCAGCUUGUAGUGGGUGGAGACAGAUGUAGGUGCUAAGCUGCUUGAGCUCCACCAUUCUUGACAUCUGUGACUUUUUGGCAAGUUACUUCUCUGUGUGCAAACUCUGCAUCUUCAAUAUGGGAGUAACUGUACCUACCUCAAAGUUGUUGCAAGGAUUAAAUGAUAUGUAUAAAAUGGU